Molecule: ribosomal RNA, 443 nt
Filed under: uncultured bacterium
Lineage: Bacteria
Description: bacterial SSU rRNA
Rfam family: Bacterial small subunit ribosomal RNA
Source: RNAcentral
ACUCCUACGGGAGGCAGCAGUGGGGAAUAUUGCGCAAUGGGGGAAACCCUGACGCAGCAACGCCGCGUGAAUGAUGAAGGCCUUAGGGUUGUAAAGUUCUGUCUUCUGGGACGAUAAUGACGGUACCAGAGGAGGAAGCCACGGCUAACUACGUGCCAGCAGCCGCGGUAAUACGUAGGUGGCAAGCGUUGUCCGGAUUUACUGGGCGUAAAGGAUGCGUAGGCGGAUAUUUAAGUCAGAUGUGAAAUACCCGGGCUCAACUUGGGUGCUGCAUUUGAAACUGGAUAUCUAGAGUGCGGGAGAGGUAAGUGGAAUUCCUAGUGUAGCGGUGAAAUGCGUAGAGAUUAGGAAGAACACCAGUGGCGAAGGCGACUUACUGGACCGUAACUGACGCUGAGGCAUGAAAGCGUGGGGAGCAAACAGGAUUAGAUACCCUGGUAGUC